UUUGUUCUCGUCUUCUUGCAAUGUCUAUGAAUUUCCCCAGUUUUUGAAAGGUUCAAAAAGUUUGGAACAUUUAGACCUUUCCAACAAUAAAAUUUAUGGCAAUAUUCCUAACUGGAUGUGGGAUGUGGGGAAGGACUCUUUGCAGUAUUUGAAUCUAUCUCACAACUCUUUGACAGAUUUUGAGCAAAUUCCAUGGAAGGGAAUUAAAUUUCUUGACCUUAGCUCAAAUUUCAUUCGAGGAGAUCUUUCGAUUCCACCAUCAACAACAGUGAUCUUUUAUAUCUCAAAUAAUAGUUUGAGUGGAGAGAUCCCUUCUCUGCUAUGCAAUGCAAAUUCCCUUGAAUUUCUUGGCUUGUCUCACAACAACUUGAGUGGAAUUAUUCCACAAUGUUUUGGAAACUUAAGCCAAAGCCUUUUAGUGUUGAAUCUACAAAUGAACAAAUUCCGUGGAUUCAUUCCUCCGGCUUUUACAAAGGGAUGUAAAUUGAAUUAUCUCAACUUAAAUGGUAAUCAAUUAGAAGGGCCUUUCCCACAAGCCAUCAUUAAUUGUAGAGGUUUGGAAGUGUUAGAUCUUGGUAACAACAAGAUCAAUGAUACAUUUCCUCAUUGGUUGGAAAGUCUUACACACCUACAAGUUCUUGUGCUGCAUUCGAAUCAAUUGCAUGGUUCCUUUCAGGACCCGUGGUCCAAUCAUUCUUUUUCCAAAAUUCAAAUUUUUGAUCUGUCGAAUAAUUAUUUUACUGGUCUACUUCCCGUUAAAUAUAUAAAAAAUUUCAAGGCUAUGAUAAAUCUCUCAAAAGAUAAAAGUGCAAGGUCAUACAUGGGAGUGUAUGCUCGUUCUGCUGCUGCUGACUUCUAUAGCUAUUCUAUUGAAAUUGCAAUGAAAGGAGUAGAGAUUCAAUUGGAGAAAAUAUUCAUCGCGUUGACGAGCAUUGACCUCUCAAACAAUGAGUUUCAAGGUGAGAUUCCAAAGGUUAUUGGAGAGCUUGACUCACUCAAAGGGCUAAACCUUUCUCAUAAUAACCUUAGUGGUUGUAUCCCCACAUCAAUGGGGAAUUUGACAGCACUUGAGUCACUGGAUCUCUCUUCGAAUAAGCUUGUUGGGAAGAUUCCUACACAGUUGAAUAGUUUGGGUUUUCUUGAAGUGUUAAACCUUUCACAAAAUCAGCUCGUUGGACCUAUACCUCAGGGAAAACAAUUCGAUACCUUUGGCAGGGAUUCCUACGCUGGUAACUUGGGACUGUGUGGGUUUCUAUUAUCAAGGAGCUGUGACAACACUGAGGCACCCUUUUUUCAUGACAGCACUGAGGCACCCAUUUUUCAUGUGGAAGCAGAUUCUGAAUCUGGAUUUGUGUGGAAAGCGACAUUCAUGGGUUAUGGAAGUGGACUAGUGUUGGGAAUAUCUGCAGCAUAUAUCAUGUUCACACUUGGAAGACCCAAAUGGCUUGUGAGGAUGGUUGAAGAAGUAGGCUACAAAUUGAAGAGAUACCUCAGAGGACGAAGGAAUUUGUAAAUUAGUAAGAAGCCCUCAUCUGUCACUGGUGGAUAGAAUGGCUUGUGUUCCUUUUAUGUUCAAUAUGAUUUUCGUUUCUUGACUGUGUUUUGUUUUGUCUUGCGCCCUGACUUUUCUUCCAGGGGUUGUAUCAUGUUUUCAAGUUGUUUGUUACAGGGGAUGCCUUGUUUUUGAUCUGGUAUGUUGCUUGGCUGUUGCUUAUAGCCAUCCAAAUGCUUGUUCUCUUCUGUUUUAUUCACCAAUGCUUAUUUCUAGAAUAAAUUUUCUUUCAUACUAAUGAAAUUGUAAGCCUGUUAUGGAUGCUAUAUGGAAUUUAAAGAUGAAUUUUCUAUCCCUUUUACAGAUGUUGACAUGAAAUUUUAGUUGAAUUCACCAUGCUUAAAUAACUUCUUUUUUUUUUUUACGUUUGGAGGCAGCACUGAGGGAGGAUAACAUUGAAUCCUAUAAUUAAAACUGGAGCAAUGGAAGCUUUUAAUUUAUCUCAAAUUUUGCCCUUUCACAGAGUACAGCAGGCAAGCAGAAGGACUUAACAGCAUCCAAUAGUCAAUGUUUUAAUACCUGCCACUCCGCUACCUUCUUAAUCAAGUCAAGCAAGCAAAAAGAAAUCAGUGUUACUAGCUAAAGGCAUCUGGGCUGGCAAUUCCUUCAUCACAAACAAAUUUUGCUUUACUUUGCUGAAUCAAAGAUUUUGCUUAUAUAUAUGUAUAUUGAAGAACUGAGCUUUGCUUUCUAAACUUCAGGUGCUUAAACUAUCCAGUUGCCAACUUGGCUUAACCUUGGACAUGCCUUGGACCAUGUUGAGAACAACAGUAUGCGUAGUUACCAAAUCUAGUUACCAUGCCUUCACACUUACAUCUUUGACUGGCCAUUACCAAUGGAGCCAAAACUUUCCUAUAAUUUCAGUUGUUCAUAAUAAAAGUCUUGUUCUUUUCAAUUUCUAUUCAUAAUUAAUCCUUCUGCUAGUUGUAUAUGACAACAGAAAAUAAAAAAACAUUAUACUAUUUAUUCGUCAAUUGUUUAGCUCCUUGCAAUGGGAAAAUUUUAUAAUAUGAAAUUAUAAAAAAACAUUAUAUUUAUAAAAGAUAUAGUUUUCGUCAGUCGUUGCUUAAUUGACUAUCUCUACUCCAUAAUUGACACAAAGCCAUGAAAUAUGAAAUUAGAACUCUUCUUUUUGGUCUUGCCUUGAAAGAAUAAAAUCCGAUGUGAAGAUGGACAUUACCAAAGUAAUGGAGAGAUUUCUUAAGUUUUUUUAGAGAUUAUAAAAGAAGUAUUUUGACUAUUUCUUUCUCAAAGAAAGGAAAAAGAAUAGGAGAUGUUCUGCUAAAAAAAUUCUAACUAAAGCAAAAUUAGUUUCAUGUUUAUGAUCCAAAACAUUAGCAAGAAAUUGAAUAUUUAUCGACAAAUUGAAAGCAGAAAAAAGAUUAGCAAGUUUCCUUUGAGGAGUUUUAACCUUACGCCGAAACCCAUAGGACAUUCCUUGCCUAGAACAUUUUCUACUUUUCGUAUACCAAAAGGUCUUCUUUAUAUAAUAAAUUAAUUAAUUAAUAAAACAAAUUGACUGUUUGAUUCAAAGUGUUAAACUAGAGAAAAUUUCACAUGUAUGCACUGCACAGGCGUCUUCGUCAAUUAAUUGUUACUAAUUUGCUUAUUCAAAUCCUUAGUGAAAGACUAUAGGGUCCAAACAUCGUUUGCCUUAAGGAACUAUUGACCUCACUUUUUCUUUUAUUUCUUUAAAAGAAAAAAUUACUGUAUAUAACAAGUAAUUAACAUACGAGAAGUGGGAUCAGCACAUAGAAAAUUGUAAUGGCAACAAAACUUUCCAACCGGAAAAAGUUUAAGAGACUUGGUAAACUAAUUUGUGUUGAAUGCACCUGCGUGAAGUGGGGUUCAUGCAAUAUAUAUAUAUAUAUAUAGGCCACAAAGACUUUUUCAUGCAUGUACAGCAUAAGGUUGAUACAUUGAGGGAUUGGUAUGUGAAUCAGCAUAAAGUUUUCCAAAUGAUUUGGUAUGUUAAAAAGCAAAUAUGAUGGAUUCAAAAGCAUAAAGUGGCAAAAUUGAGUCUUUAUAUAUACAUAUAGUCUGCAGGUGUUAGAUGUCAGAUUAUAAACUUUAAUGAAAUAAUAUUCCAAACUUUGAACAUUUAUAAUUUCAAUUGCUUUCAGACCAAUUGACAAUUAAAUUACCUACUAUAAUUAGAGGAUUGUAACUUACACAGAAGGCUUAUAGCUAAGUUAGACAUGAGGUAAUCAAUUCUAAAUCCAUCCAACUCAAAAAGCUAAGUUAAACUCUCGAUCUUGUCUAUAACAAACUUGAAAACCAUGCAAUCAUUGUUGCCAUUCAAUAGAAAAACAAAGGUCAAUCAUUGUCUGAAAAGUGGCAUUUCAUGUGGCAAAUGAUAAUUGUAGUUACAACAGUAAAACCGUAAAACAUUGAAUUAUACCGAGAACCAAAUCAAGAAGUGCAAUCUGCACAUAGAAAAUUGUAAUGGGGAUAUGAAAUAUAGGCCACAUGGACUUUUUCAUGCACGUACAGCUCAAAGGUUGAUACAUGGAAAGAUCUGAUAUAUAUUUUUUGAAUGGCAUAAUAUAAUUAGUAAAGGAGGGAAGAGUCUCAUCAGAAAAGGAGAAACUCCAAACCCCAAUACAAAGGGGACAUCAAACAGAAAAUCGAAUCCCAGAGCAACAAGGACACCAAGCAAGAACAGUCAGGAAAAAAAGGAAUAACAAAUAGAAGAAGGAGAAAAGCACCAGAAGAAGAACCCGAAAACACAGAAAUUAACCAAAAACUUGAAUCAGGAUAAAGUUUUCCAAACGAUUUGGUAUGCCGAAAGCAUAGUGGGGUAAACAGCAAAAGUGAUAGGUUCAAAGGGAAUACAGUGGCAAAAUUGAAUCCUAUUUGUAUAUAUUUGUCUUUAUCCUCUUUAAUCUGCACAUGUACAUAAUGUGAGAUUAUCCAAAUUCUUAUAGUCUCUAUAUUUCAUUAGAAAUUGAACAAAAUGGAGUUGAAAGUUACUCUCUAAUUUAAUUUGACAUGAAAAUUUAGAAAAAUGUUCUGAUUUUGAUACUUUUAUUAAAGUAGCAAUAAAAAAAUCUAAAUUAAUUUGAGGUAUCUUGAAAAAAAAUCUUCGAAUUCCACCUUCAACAACAAGAUUCUUUUUUAUCUCAAAUAAUAAUUUGAGUGGAGAGAUCUCUUCUCUAAUAUGCAAUGUGAGUUCUCUUAUAGUUCUUGACUUGUCUCACAACAACUUGAGAGGAAUAAUUCCACAAUCCUUUCGAAAUUUGAACAAAAGCCUCUCAAUGUUGAAAUUAGAGAGGAACAAGUUUUGUGGAACCAUUCCUCUAACUUUUGUGAAGGGAUGUGAACUGAAUUAUCUAAACUUACAUGGCAAUCUAUUAGAAGGACUUUUAACACGAUCCAUCAUUAAUUGCCAAGGUUUGGAAGUGCUAGAUCUUGGUAACAAUAAGAUCAAUGAUACAUUUCCUCAUUGGUUGGGAAGUCUUGCACAGCUACAAGUUCUUGUAUUACGAUCAAACAAAUUCCAAGGUUCCACUAGGUCCAGUAAUUCAUUCUCCAAAAUCCAAAUUUUUAACCUCUCAAAUAAUUACUUUAAUGGUCCACUUCCUGUUAAAUAUAUAAAAAUUUGAAAGCUAUGAUAAAUCUCACAAAAAAUGAUAGUGCAAGUUCAUACAUGGGGCUGGAUGCAUAUUGUGGAUCUUAUAGCUAUUCUAUUAAAAUUGCAAUAAAAGGACAAGAGGUUGAAUUAGAGAAAAUUUUCAUCACGUUGACUAGCAUUGACCCCUCAAAGAAUGAGUUUCAGGGUGAGAUUCCAAAGGUUAUUGGAGAGCUUAACUCACCCAAAGGGCUUAACCUUUCUCAUAAUAACCUUAGUGGUUGUAUCCCC
This 5414-nucleotide long non-coding RNA is filed under the name Theobroma cacao (cacao). RNAcentral describes it as "long non-coding RNA (TCAC_LNC004152)". Lineage: Eukaryota; Viridiplantae; Streptophyta; Magnoliopsida; Malvales; Malvaceae. The record is from RNAcentral.